RNAcentral lists this ribosomal RNA (669 nucleotides) under uncultured fungus. RNAcentral describes it as "SSU rRNA". It matches the Rfam family "Eukaryotic small subunit ribosomal RNA", at positions 874 to 1566 of the family's 1831-position model. Lineage: Eukaryota; Fungi. The record is from RNAcentral.
AGGGACAGUCGGGGGCAUCAGUAUUCAAUUGUCAGAGGUGAAAUUCUUGGAUUUAUUGAAGACUAACUACUGCGAAAGCAUUUGCCAAGGAUGUUUUCAUUAAUCAGGAACGAAAGUUAGGGGAUCGAAGACGAUCAGAUACCGUCGUAGUCUUAACCAUAAACUAUGCCGACUAGGGAUCGGACGAUGUUAUUUUUUGACGCGUUCGGCACCUUACGAGAAAUCAAAGUGCUUGGGCUCCAGGGGGAGUAUGGUCGCAAGGCUGAAACUUAAAGAAAUUGACGGAAGGGCACCACCAGGGGUGGAGCCUGCGGCUUAAUUUGACUCAACACGGGGAAACUCACCAGGUCCAGACACAAUGAGGAUUGACAGAUUGAGAGCUCUUUCUUGAUUUUGUGGGUGGUGGUGCAUGGCCGUUCUUAGUUGGUGGAGUGAUUUGUCUGCUUAAUUGCGAUAACGAACGAGACCUUAACCUGCUAAAUAGCCCGUAUUGCUUUGGCAGUACGCUGGCUUCUUAGAGGGACUAUCGGCUCAAGCCGAUGGAAGUUUGAGGCAAUAACAGGUCUGUGAUGCCCUUAGAUGUUCUGAGCCGCACGCGCGCUACACUGACUGAGCCAGCGGAGUACUCCCUUGGCCGGAAGGCCCGGAGACAUCUUAUAAUUAUCCCUC